GAGUUUGAUUAUGGCUCAGGAUGAACGCUAGCGAUAGGCUUAACACAUGCAAGUCGAGGGGCAGCACGGGAUUAGCUUGCUAAUCUUGGUGGCGACCGGCGUAAGGGUGCGUAACGCGUAUGCAACUUGCCUGUCAGUGGGGAAUAACCCGGAGAAAUCCGGACUAAUACCGCAUACACUUUGGUUUCCGCAUGGGGACUUUAGGAAAUAUUUAUAGCUGACAGAUAGGCAUGCGUUCCAUUAGCUGGUAGGUGAGGUAACGGCUCACCUAGGCAACGAUGGAUAGGGGAACUGAGAGGUUAAACCCCCACACUGGUACUGAGACACGGACCAGACUCCUACGGGAGGCAGCAGUGAGGAAUAUUGGUCAAUGGGCGAGAGCCUGAACCAGCCAAUUCGCGUGAAGGAUGACUGCCCUAUGGGUUGUAAACUUCUUUAGUAGGGGAUUAAAGUUUGCCUUGCGAGGCA
Molecule: ribosomal RNA, 468 nt
Filed under: Porphyromonas sp. canine oral taxon 383
Lineage: Bacteria; Pseudomonadati; Bacteroidota; Bacteroidia; Bacteroidales; Porphyromonadaceae
Description: bacterial SSU rRNA
Rfam family: Bacterial small subunit ribosomal RNA
Source: RNAcentral